GACGAACGCUGGCGGCGUGCUUAACACAUGCAAGUCGAACGGUGAAGGGAUCAGCUUGCUGGUUCUGGAUGAGUGGCGAACGGGUGAGUAACACGUGAGUAACCUGCCCCCUUCUUCUGGAUAACCGCAUGAAAGUGUGGCUAAUACGGGAUAUUCUGGGUCUGUCGCAUGAUGGGUCUGGGAAAGAUAUUGUUUCGGUGGGGGUUGGGCUCGCGGCCUAUCAGCUUGUUGGUGGGGUGAUGGCCUACCAAGGCGGUGACGGGUAGCCGGCCUGAGAGGGUGGACGGUCACACUGGGACUGAGACACGGCCCAGACUCCUACGGGAGGCAGCAGUGGGGAAUAUUGCACAAUGGGCGCAAGCCUGAUGCAGCGACGCCGCGUGAGGGAUGGAGGCCUUCGGGUUGUAAACCUCUUUCGCCAGUGAAGCAGGCCUGCUCCUUGUGGGUGGGUUGACGGUAGCUGGAUAAGAAGCGCCGGCUAACUACGUG
Molecule: ribosomal RNA, 489 nt
Filed under: uncultured bacterium
Lineage: Bacteria
Description: partial 16S ribosomal RNA
Rfam family: Bacterial small subunit ribosomal RNA
Source: RNAcentral